RNAcentral lists this ribosomal RNA (253 nucleotides) under uncultured bacterium. RNAcentral describes it as "partial 16S ribosomal RNA". It matches the Rfam family "Bacterial small subunit ribosomal RNA", at positions 524 to 776 of the family's 1533-position model. The record is from RNAcentral.
GACGUAGGGAGCGAGCGUUGUCCGGAUUCAUUGGGCGUAAAGCGCGCGUAGGCGGCCUCGCAAGUCGGUUGUGAAAUCCCGGGGCUCGACCCCGGGACUGCGUCCGAUACUGCGAGGCUGGAGGUAGGUAGGGGAGAUCGGAAUUCCUGGUGUAGCGGUGAAAUGCGCAGAUAUCAGGAGGAACACCGGUGGCGAAGGCGGAUCUCUGGGCCUUACCUGACGCUGAGGCGCGAAAGCUAGGGGAGCGAACAGG